ACAUGUCUUCAACAACUGCAGCCACCUCGGUAGCUCGCUAGCCAACAAAGUCGGAACUUUCAAGUUCUUUAGACAAUUUCGUGGUUUAAUUGCCACUAUGAUUUAAACAUACUUAUGUGGAAACAACUAGCUAUCCCAUUUAAUUUAUUAUGUACGGUCUAAAUCAACUAGCUGGUUAAGUUAGUUAGCACUAGUCCGUGAGUUCACUAAACUACUCUCCUGCUAAAGAAGAGAAGGUCUGCUGGACAGAGAGAAGCUUUCGUGAAAGAGGAGGUUACCGUGAAAGAAGAAGAGAAAGACGUUACAGAGAAAGACGCCUUCAGAGUGAAAGAGGAGGAGGAUGUUACUGUGAAAGAAAAGGAGGAAGAUGCAGUUUUUGGAGUGGAGGAUGAAGUGAAAGAAAAUAAAGACGUUUUUGGAAUGAAGGAUGAGGAGGGGGAGAUUACUGUCACAUUAGAGGAGGACGAAGAAGAGAAGACUGGAGAUCUGAUUAACACCAGUAAAUUCAGAGAGAGACGUGACUAUCGUGGAUCCUCUGGAGAGCCUCAACAACCUCAUGAUGCUGACAAGGCAGAGAAGAGUCUCUCCACAUCAAAACUCCUCAAGAAACACCAGUAAAGACCCGCAGGGAAGAUAACUCACCACUGCUCUGAUUGUGGGAAGAGAUUCACCUCAUCAGCAGGCAUUAAAAUUCAUCAGAGAAUCCACACAGUAGAGAAACCUUUUUGCUGUAUUCAAUGUGGGAAGAGUUUUGAUACAUCUAGCCAUCUUAUUGUACACCAAAUAACACACACAGGAUAGAAAUCUUAUAGCUGUGAUCAAUGUGGGAUGAGUUUUACUCACCUAAGCAGCCUGAUAUCACACCAGAGAAUACACACAGGAGAGAAAUCAUAUAUAGCUGUGAUGAAUGUGGCAAGAGUUUUACUAAUUCGAGCAAUCUGACUCUUCAGAGAACACACACAGGAGAGAAACAUUAUAGCUGUACUCAAUGUGGGAAUAGUUUUACUAAUUCAACCAGCCUGAUAUUACACCAGAGAACACACACAGGAGAUAAAUAUAUCUGUUAUCAAUGUGGGAAUAGUUUUACUCAUCUAAGCAGCCUGAUAUCACACCAGAGAACACACACAGGAGAGAAACCAUAUGGCUGUACUCGAUGUGGGAAGCUUUAAAUUUUUUAAAUUUUUUUAACAUCUAGCCAUCUGAAGAUACACCAGAGAACACACACGAGAGAAAUCUCAUGGCUGUGACCAGACAUAAUCUGAUAAAAGAUCUCUUAUCAAAUAUCAGAAAAUACAUACAUGAAGGACUUGUUUCAUGAUAUCAAUGAAAUAAUGUCACAUUGUAGAAUGUUUUAACAUUGUAGUAGGAGUAUUUUAUUGAUGUCACAAUGUAGAAACCUAAACGUUUGUCCCCUGUUCCAUUGAUUUCAACAUGAUAUGGAUAUUAACCUCAGGGGAAAAAUUCAGGCUCUGAAUUGGAAGAGUAUUAUUUAUAAUUUAACAAAAAGUGACUAACAAAAAAAGAGUGGUUACACUUACCACAUUGGUGACCCACUUGAAUCAAAAUGCAACACUUCAAAAUGUGGUGAGCUGUUUUCUUCAAAUUAUCCUCUAACCAGGGAUGUACACAUUACUCCCGGAUUCCGUGUGGUUUUUGAGCUGUUAAUUUUAACAGGACAUGCAACCUCAUCUCCCACCUCUCGCACAAAUGAUUUUAGCAUGAUAUCGAUGAGUUAUGACAAAUAAGUGUUGCGUUCCUUUGUUUAGUAACCCCUAAAUUUAAACGCAUCACUCCCAAAUGUAGCUGACUGUCUUCUGCAGGUUGUCCUCUAACCAGUGAGGUAAAAGAUAUCUCCCAUUUCAGUUUUUUUUAGUUGUGUUAGUUUCAAUAGCAUAUACAUCCUGAUUCCCCCAUUGAUAAUUGUUGCAGAUGUUUGUGUAUAGAUACAUGUUUUAUAAUUCCAUGCCUCACCAUUAAGUGAAUUAUUGCCAAUAUUAACAUUUGAUUUUCAUUUUAACAAUUUAUGUAACAUUUAGUAUUCAUAAUUAUUUAUGCAACCAACAGACCAUUUUUUGGUACAAUUAUAUUGACGUUGUUGCCCUGCUUCUAGAAUAUCAGGGUUCAUUCUCAGAUGUGCGAACCCAAAUGUACUAGAGCGUGACAUUGGGGACUGGGCCCCGAUCCAACAACAUGCCUAUCGAGUGAACCCUGAAAAGAGAGAAGCUCCGCAGUGAGGUGGAAAGUUACUACGGAUAUUGCAGGAGUUUCCUCUUGAAAUCAGACAUGUUCAUUUUAAGGAAAACUUGCUGAUUGUCUCACGAGUGGGCACUCUAAAUGUUUGUGUUUUGCGUUUAGCCAGUGAGUUGCCAUGGAUCACAAUUUAUUUUGACUGCACGUUUUUCCGUAUUGGAGAUGAGUUUUGUUUGGGCUCGUUCCAAGGGGACUAGAGUUCUAGAAGUUGGUGAGUUUUAGGAAGAUCAGGGUGCUCCACCUUUUUGUUUUGCUUCCUGUCUUUAAGUUUGGUGUGGGUUUUUCUUUAGUUUUCCUCUUCUUGGGCAGAUUAUGUGGGUCUCAUGGUGGGUGUCUUUUAGGUCCCAGUUGUUGUUACUAGUCAAUUUUCAGUGGACACCCCCAUAGUGACUUUCAGAGCCCCUCCUAAUAAAACAAGCUUGUAUUUUGGAUUGGAUUUUUCCAUCCAAUUAAUAUUUUAAUAAAUGGCAUUUCCUUAGGGUGCUCAUUAGUCUUUCA
Molecule: long non-coding RNA, 2748 nt
Organism: Oncorhynchus tshawytscha (Chinook salmon)
Lineage: Eukaryota; Metazoa; Chordata; Actinopteri; Salmoniformes; Salmonidae
Exons: 2
Source: RefSeq, a predicted model, not a curated record